ACGUUCAGGUAAUCGCUGCAUCAUUUGAUGUAGAGGAAAGUCCAUGCUCGCACGGUGCUGAGAUGCCCGUAGUGUUCGUGCCUAGUGAAAAAAUAAGCUAGGGCAGCUUGGCUUAUAGCUUAGCUGACGGCGGGAAAAACCACCUAAGUCUUUGGAUAUGGUUGAGUAUCCCUGAAAGUGCCACAGUGACGAAGCUUUGCUGGAAACAGCAAAGGUGGAACGCGGUAAACCCCACGAGCGAGAAACCCAAACAAUGGUAGGGGAACUGUCUCAAAGGAAUCUAACGGAGAGACGGACGGUUACAUGCGUAAUCGUAGAUAGAUGAUUACCGCCUGAGUACGAGAUUAAAAUCGUUUGCAGUACAAAGGUACAAAACAUGGCUUAUCGAA
Molecule: RNase P RNA, 389 nt
Filed under: Priestia megaterium
Lineage: Bacteria; Bacillati; Bacillota; Bacilli; Caryophanales; Bacillaceae
Also listed under: 1 other name
Description: RNase P RNA component class B
Rfam family: Bacterial RNase P class B
About the family: Ribonuclease P (RNase P) is a ubiquitous endoribonuclease, found in archaea, bacteria and eukarya as well as chloroplasts and mitochondria. Its best characterised activity is the generation of mature 5'-ends of tRNAs by cleaving the 5'-leader elements of precursor-tRNAs.
Source: RNAcentral